This 497-nucleotide ribosomal RNA is filed under the name uncultured bacterium. RNAcentral describes it as "partial 16S ribosomal RNA". It matches the Rfam family "Bacterial small subunit ribosomal RNA", at positions 28 to 507 of the family's 1533-position model. The record is from RNAcentral.
GAUGAACGCUGGCGGCGUGCCUAAUACAUGCAAGUCGAGCGAACAGACGAGGAGCUUGCUCCUCUGACGUUAGCGGCGGACGGGUGAGUAGCACGUGGAUAACCUACCUAUAAGACUGGGAUAACUUCGGGAAACCGGAGCUAAUACCGGAUAAUAUAUUGAACCGCAUGGUUCAAUAGUGAAAGACGGUUUUGCUGUCACUUAUAGAUGGAUCCGCGCCGCAUUAGCUAGUUGGUAAGGUAACGGCUUACCAAGGCAACGAUGCGUAGCCGACCUGAGAGGGUGAUCGGCCACACUGGAACUGAGACACGGUCCAGACUCCUACGGGAGGCAGCAGUAGGGAAUCUUCCGCAAUGGGCGAAAGCCUGACGGAGCAACGCCGCGUGAGUGAUGAAGGUCUUCGGAUCGUAAAACUCUGUUAUUAGUGAAGAACAAAUGUGUAAGUAACUAUGCACGUCUUGACGGUACCUAAUCAGAAAGCCACGGCUAACUACGUG